This 497-nucleotide ribosomal RNA is filed under the name uncultured bacterium. RNAcentral's name for it is "partial 16S ribosomal RNA". It matches the Rfam family "Bacterial small subunit ribosomal RNA", at positions 28 to 507 of the family's 1533-position model. The record is from RNAcentral.
GAUGAACGCUGGCGGCGUGCCUAAUACAUGCAAGUCGAGCGAACGGACGAGAAGCUUGCUUCUCUGAUGUUAGCGGCGGACGGGUGAGUAACACGUGGAUAACCUACCUAUAAGACUGGGAUAACUUCGGGAAACCGGAGCUAAUACCGGAUAAUAUUUUGAACCGCAUGGUUCAAAAGUGAAAGACGGUCUUGCUGUCACUUAUAGAUGGAUCCGCGCUGCAUUAGGUAGUUGGUAAGGUAACGGCUUACCAAGGCAACGAUGCAUAGCCGACCUGAGAGGGUGAUCGGCCACACUGGAACUGAGACACGGUCCAGACUCCUACGGGAGGCAGCAGUAGGGACUCUUCCGCAAUGGGCGAAAGCCUGACGGAGCAACGCCGCGUGAGUGAUGAAGGUCUUCGGAUCGUAAAACUCUGUUAUUAGGGAAGAACAUAUGUGUAAGUAACUGUGCACAUCUUGACGGUACCUAAUCAGAAAGCCACGGCUAACUACGUG